MicroRNA precursor from Schistosoma mansoni, 78 nucleotides. It matches the Rfam family "mir-3492 microRNA precursor family". NCBI's taxonomy places the organism in Eukaryota, Metazoa, Platyhelminthes, Trematoda, Strigeidida, Schistosomatidae. The record is from Rfam.
GGCUUUUUGAAUCCGUGCCGAGAUUUCGUCAGACACCAAACUAUCAGUACUGAUGAGACUUUCACGAUAAGUGAGACA